This 369-nucleotide long non-coding RNA is filed under the name Fukomys damarensis (Damara mole-rat). Its description in RNAcentral is "lncRNA (ENSFDAG00000022213.1)". The record is from RNAcentral. Lineage: Eukaryota; Metazoa; Chordata; Mammalia; Rodentia; Bathyergidae.
GGCCUGAAACCCAGUCCCGAAGGGCCUGCCCCUGGGGUGGGGUCCGAGGGCUCCAUUACACCCGCUGAGUUCUAUCUUACUCUAAGUCCCCCGUGAGUGUCGCCAGCUGCUCCUCACCCUCUCUCCACUGCUGCUUUUCAGAAAGACCUGAGGACCCUUAGGGGAUCAGGAGCCCAGAACUGGGGCUCCACAGGGAAGGGGUUAAAGCCAGACACAAAUACAAGGAAGCGGGUAAAGGGAGGAGAGGAGCCCGGAGAUGUCACACACCUGAAGAGGCAUCCAGCAGUGUGCCAGAUAACAGAAGGUGCAGGUGGCAGAUGGGAGCACUCACCAUGAGCAAAAAGCUGGUGGUUUCACAGUGAAGCUGGC